CUGAAGAAUUGCACAAGUUACAUCCUGAAGCAUAAUGGUAGAAUUUACACAAGUUUGUCAUGCUCCUUUGGCGGAAACUAACACACUGCUUUUGUGACGCAACAGUAGCAGGGGAGAUUUGCGUUUUUGGCAAAGAGGAGGGGAGGAACUAACAUGACGGCUUAGAUCAAUUACUGAUGAACUAACAUGAUGUGGCCAAAUACACACGAGUCUAAACAAGACAUGGGUCUGCUUUCCUCUUAAGCAGAUAUGAUCAUCAAGCUGUUUCCAGCGACAGAAGCGGAGCCUGGGGAGAGGAGAUGAACCUGUGCCUGGGGUGAGGACAACCUAGGAUGAGGAGAGCCUGGGAAGCAGUUGAGCCCAGCUCCAGCUCGCCUCAACCUGGGCGGACCUGGAGAGGAGGAGUCCCUGGAGAAGGAGAGGAGUCCCUGGGCGUGGAGAGGAGGAGCGCCUGGGCGCCUGCGUUGGUCUGGAUGGAGGUGGAGCUGUGGCGCCUGGAGCUCUGGGGUGGAGCGCCGGCGAGGGAGCUCCGGACGGUGGCGAGGGAGCUUCCGAUCACGGCGGGGAAGGGCGACCAAAGAGGGGGUCUGGCUCUUGAUUGGAGCGGCGUAGACAGCCGGCGGGGAAGGACGCCGGAGAUGCGGACAACGAAGGAGCCUGGCGAAGGGGAGGAGGGACGGAAUCCUCCUCCGCCUGGCGAAGGGGAGGAGCGAGGGAGUCCUGGCGGAGGGAAGGAGCGACGGAGAAAGACGACGACCUGAGCACGAUUUCAAAUCAGGGGCAGUUUUGUAAUUUCACUAUUUUUCACCUGGUCGGAAAAGACCCCAGCGACAAUUAUUUCGGAACGG
Non-coding RNA from Triticum urartu, 848 nucleotides. The record is from RefSeq and is a predicted model, not a curated record. NCBI's taxonomy places the organism in Eukaryota, Viridiplantae, Streptophyta, Magnoliopsida, Poales, Poaceae.